UACGAAGGGGGCUAGCGUUGCUCGGAAUCACUGGGCGUAAAGCGCACGUAGGCGGCUUUUUAAGUCAGGGGUGAAAUCCUGGAGCUCAACUCCAGAACUGCCUUUGAUACUGGGAAGCUUGAGUCCGGGAGAGGUGAGUGGAACUCCGAGUGUAGAGGUGAAAUUCGUAGAUAUUCGGAAGAACACCAGUGGCGAAGGCGGCUCGCUGGCCCGGUACUGACGCUGAGGUGCGAAAGCGUGGGGAGCAAACAGG
This 253-nucleotide ribosomal RNA is filed under the name uncultured bacterium. RNAcentral describes it as "partial 16S ribosomal RNA". It matches the Rfam family "Bacterial small subunit ribosomal RNA", at positions 524 to 776 of the family's 1533-position model. The record is from RNAcentral.